Molecule: ribosomal RNA, 382 nt
Filed under: uncultured bacterium
Lineage: Bacteria
Description: bacterial SSU rRNA
Rfam family: Bacterial small subunit ribosomal RNA
Source: RNAcentral
UGGGGAAUAUUGGACAAUGGGCGAAAGCCUGAUCCAGCCAUGCCGCGUGUGUGAAGAAGGCCUUUUGGUUGUAAAGCACUUUAAGCGAGGAGGCGUUACUCGCAGAAUAAGCACCGGCUAACUCUGUGCCAGCAGCCGCGGUAAUACAGAGGGUGCGAGCGUUAAUCGGAUUUACUGGGCGUAAAGCGUGCGUAGGCGGCUUUUAAGUCGGAUGUGAAAUCCCUGAGCUUAACUUAGGAAUUGCAUUCGAUACUGGGAAGCUAGAGUAUGGGAGAGGAUGGUAGAAUUCCAGGUGUAGCGGUGAAAUGCGUAGAGAUCUGGAGGAAUACCGAUGGCGAAGGCAGCCAUCUGGCCUAAUACUGACGCUGAGGUACGAAAGCAU